CGUGUAGGUGGCUAAUUAAGUCAGGUGUGAAAUCCUUCCGCUUAACGGAAGAAGUGCACUUGAAACUGCUUAGCUAGAGUACGGGAGAGGAAGGUGGAAUUCCUGGUGUAGAGGUGAAAUUCAUAGAUAUCGGGAAGAACACCGGUGGCGGAGGCGGCCUUCUGGCCCGAUACUGACGCUGAGACGCGAAAGCGUGGGGAGCAAACA
RNAcentral lists this ribosomal RNA (207 nucleotides) under uncultured bacterium. Its description in RNAcentral is "partial 16S ribosomal RNA". It matches the Rfam family "Bacterial small subunit ribosomal RNA", at positions 568 to 774 of the family's 1533-position model. The record is from RNAcentral.